Octopus bimaculoides (California two-spot octopus) is the source of this 2100-nucleotide long non-coding RNA. Lineage: Eukaryota; Metazoa; Mollusca; Cephalopoda; Octopoda; Octopodidae. The record is from RefSeq and is a predicted model, not a curated record.
UUUCUUUUUCUAUCUUGCUAUUUCUUCUGUUUCUCCUUUAUGUAUUUUUUUCCUUCGUUUAUUUAUUUAUUAUUUGUUUUUUUUUCUUUUUUUUUUUUGCUUAUUUACUUACGUGAAUCUCAUGCUAAAGAAAAAAAUUGCUGGUCAGUAAAGAACUUGUGACUAUUCAUUUCAACAAAUUCAGAACUGAGUUGCUGAAGCAGAAAUAUCAUUAUGGCAAAUAUUCUGCUCAAUGUCACAGAUUUGAUCGUCAGUUGUUUGACCAUAACCACUUGAGCAUAUCCCUUAGUGAUUGUCAACAUGUGUAUCUCUGAUCAUGAACAGCCGUAGUUGGGGAGCAUCAUAGCCAUUUAUUGAGAGGGAUUCUUUCGGGUUUGAAGAAAUGUAACAAAAGCAAAGUUCGAAGGAAAUAACCAUUUUUCAUACUUUCUAAGGGUAAGGAAAUAGGAGAUAACAGUUGCUACCCAAGGAUUAAAAAAAAGGUUACACUGUGAAUUAUCAAUUGCUUCUAUUAUUUGCCUCUCACUCUCUGUUUUCUACAGUUCAGUUAUUGCUUUCAGUGUUGUUUAAAAAGAAAACUAAUACAUGGAGGGACGGUGUGAACAAAAGUGCAAAAUGAAUUACAGGAAUCCAGUAAAUAUAAACAAAAUCUAUUUAGAACAAACGAUUUUGAUUACCAGUCCAACUCCGAAGCAACCUGAGUCAUCAAGAGACCUUGUAAAUUUCGUGAUGUAGAAAUAUAGACUAGAUUCUUGUAACAACACACAAUGCAUUGAUUGCUUUAAGGAAUCUCUAUAAAGUUGCUUAAUCCACGUGUUUAUUCACCGGCGGUGAAAAGUCUAGCUAGAAUAAACACGUGGAAAAUAUGCGCUUACUUAAACUUGGGACUACAGAUCAAAAUAACCUCCAUUCUACAUCCACUUCACAGCAGAAUUAUCAACUAAGAAAUCUACAAUAGUUUUACAGUGAUGACAAGUGGAAAUUACUCAGAAGUAUUACUACAACGUCUGUGUCACCUGUUGAUGACUAUGAAAGAACAACCUAAUUGAUGAUUAUGAAAGACAUGAAGGUGUACCAAAACACAAGAAUCUCCCUCCUCGUGAUGGUAUCGUUUUAUUUGGAAUACCAUUUUCCACGCUGUAUAACAUCAUCCGAUGUUCAUCAUCUUGGAACUAUAUUACUGUUUCGCUAAAGAUAUUGAAACAACUCCUUAUUAACUGCAUUUGUUAAAGAGUGUUACAUUUUUAAUGUAUGAUGCUGAUGCCAGGUAAAUCAAAUCAUGAUGGAUCCUUCGGGAGAAAACUCAUGAAAUAUUCACCAAUAAAUUUACUCCGGACUGUCUCUCAGACAAUGUAUGAACCAAUGCUUGGCAAUCAUUAAUAAUCCGUUUUAUAUUACACACAAAACCUGAAAUUUGAUGGGAGGAAUAUAAUCGAUUACAUCGACCAGGGUACUUAUUUCAUCGCGCGCGAAAGGUUGAAAGGCAAAGCUGACCUCCACGGACUUUGAACUCAGAAUGUAAAGCCGAAAGAAAUGCCGCUAAGCAUUUUAUCCGGCGUGCUAACGUUUCUGCCAGUUCACCGCCUUCGGUGAUAAUUAGCUUAUUAGUAUUCGGUGCCACUAAUUACUCAUCUCCAGUUAGAUCUUCAAUGCGACCUGUUUCCAUAAUGGAUGCCAAGAAAUGUGAUUUGGUGCAGGGAUUGAGAAUUUCUCAGAAUUUAAUGAUUGAGCAAAUGAAGAAAGCAAAUUCUGAAGAAUUCAUCCUUAUUUCCACCACGGCCAUCCAGUUCUACAAAUGCCACUCCAUACAAGUCUAAAUGUUGCUUGUAGUGCUGUACUUUUUUCUUAAUGGAAUUUUUGCUGAUGGGAAAGCAGCAGCGUACCAUAAGUCAACAUAUAACUCUUGUCCGAAGGAGUCUAAAAUAUGCUUAAUUUUAUGACAAUACAUAAUCCGGUGCUCUCAGAAGGCAAAUUUUUUCAGUCAUACCAAGUACUCUAUCAGUUAAUGCACUACAUCUAUGCCUUUUAAUUUUGUUUGUCUGGAGUCUUUGAUGAUUUGAGGAUGUGGUAUUAAAAAUCCAUCUAUAUAAAUAAUACUAU